UUGCAAUUGGAUUGAGAACAACGUACAAACCUUAUCGAUAAACAAUUGGAGGGCAAGUCUGGUGCCAGCAGCCGCGGUAAUUCCAGCUCCAAUAGCGUAUAUUAACGUUGUUGCAGUUAAAAAGCUCGUAGUUGAAAUGAAGGGUAGUUGUGUAAUGAAUACAUUCGUGUAUUUUGUUAUUCUACUACCCUCCUUCUAAAUUCGAUAUAUGAGUAUUAAUUUACUUGUAUAUGGUUUUAGACGUUUACUGUGAGAAAAUUAGAGUGUUCAAAGCAGGCAUUUGCUUGAAUAUAUUAGCAUGGAAUAAUCAUGUAUGAUUUUCAUGAUGUAUUUGAUUGGUUUGGUUCAUGAGAAUAAGAUUAAAAGGGACAGUUGGGGGUAUUCAUAUUCAAUAGUCAGAGGUGAAAUUCUCGGAUUUAUGGAA
RNAcentral lists this ribosomal RNA (424 nucleotides) under Blastocystis sp. A19. RNAcentral describes it as "bacterial SSU rRNA". It matches the Rfam family "Eukaryotic small subunit ribosomal RNA", at positions 503 to 933 of the family's 1831-position model. The record is from RNAcentral. Lineage: Eukaryota; Bigyra; Opalinata; Blastocystidae.